CUUAACCAACCAUCCCCGGUUUGUGAAAGAAGCCUUUGGGGUUGAAAACCAUUUUCAGUUGUGAGGAAGGUUUAUGCGUUAAUAGCGUAUAGAUUUGACGUUAGCGACAGAAGAAGCACCGGCUAAUUCCGUGCCAGCAGCCGCGGUAAUACGGAGGGUGCGAGCGUUAAUCGGAAUUACUGGGCGUAAAGCGCAUGCAGGUGGUUUGUUAAGUCAGAUGUGAAAGCCCGGGGCUCAACCUCGGAAUAGCAUUUGAAACUGGCAGACUAGAGUACUGUAGAGGGGGGUAGAAUUUCAGGUGUAGCGGUGAAAUGCGUAGAGAUCUGAAGGAAUACCGGUGGCGAAGGCGGCCCCUGGACAGAUACUGACACUCAGAUGCGAAAGCGUGGGGAGCAAACAGGAUUAGAUACCCUGGUAGUCCACGCCGUAAACGAUGUCUACUUGGAGGUUGUGGCCUUGAGCCGUGGCUUUCGGAGCUAACGCGUUAAGUAGACCGCCUGGGGAGUACGGUCGCAAGAUUAAAACUCAAAUGAAUUGACGGGGGCCCGCACAAGCGGUGGAGCAUGUGGUUUAAUUCGAUGCAACACGAAGAACCUUACCUACUCUUGACAUCCAGAGAACUUUUCAGAGAUGAAUUGGUGCCUUCGGGAACUCUGAGACAGGUGCUGCAUGGCUGUCGUCAGCUCGUGUUGUGAAAUGUUGGGUUAAGUCCCGCAACGAGCGCAACCCUUAUCCUUGUUUGCCAGCGAGUAAUGUCGGGAACUCCAGGGAGACUGCCGGUGAUAAACCGGAGGAAGGUGGGGACGACGUCAAGUCAUCAUGGCCCUUACGAGUAGGGCUACACACGUGCUACAAUGGUGCAUACAGAGGGCGGCCAACUUGCGAAAGUGAGCGAAUCCCAAAAAGUGCGUCGUAGUCCGGAUUGGAGUCUGCAACUCGACUCCAUGAAGUCGGAAUCGCUAGUAAUCGUGGAUCGGAAUGCCACGGUGAAUACGUUCCCGGGCCUUGUACACACCGCCCGUCACACCAUGGGAGUGGGCUGCAAAAGAAGUAGGUAGUUUAACCUUCGGGGGGACGCUUACCACUUUGUGGUUCAUGACUGGGGUGAAGUCGUAACAAGGUAGCCGU
Molecule: ribosomal RNA, 1128 nt
Filed under: uncultured bacterium
Lineage: Bacteria
Description: bacterial SSU rRNA
Rfam family: Bacterial small subunit ribosomal RNA
Source: RNAcentral